RNAcentral lists this ribosomal RNA (253 nucleotides) under uncultured bacterium. RNAcentral describes it as "partial 16S ribosomal RNA". It matches the Rfam family "Bacterial small subunit ribosomal RNA", at positions 524 to 776 of the family's 1533-position model. The record is from RNAcentral.
UACAGAGGUCCCAAGCGUUGUUCGGAUUCACUGGGCGUAAAGGAUGCGUAGGUGGUGAGGUAAGUCGGAUGUGAAAGCUCGGAGCUCAACUCCGAAAUGGCAUUGGAAACUACCUUGCUCGAGGGUUGAAAGAAGGACUGGAAUGCUUGGUGUAGCAGUGAAAUGCGUAGAUAUCAAGCGGAACACCAGUGGCGAAGGCGAGUCCCUGGACAACUCCUGACACUGAGGCACGAAAGCUAAGGGAGCAAACAGG